AGUGGGGAUCAUGCAUCCACAUCUCAGGAUCAUUGCAAGGAGUGAGGACAUCUCAUAUAAAAAACUGGCCCAGGCAAGGCAUGGAAUAAAUGCCAGCUGUUAGAGCAGCUUCUGUAGGAAAGCAGAGCCUGCCUUGCAGCCACCCUACUGGCAGACAUGUCAACAGGAAGAGUGAGAAGUGAGCAAUGCCUCCUGAGCUGAUGCCUACAGAGAAGCUGUGACAAUCUGCCUCUAGAACAAUCUCAGCAAGCUGCCUGGCCCAGGGGAAAUCCAACCAUGAUGACUUGGCCCAGACUCUGCAAGAUACUUUCAAAUUGUUGGUGUUCACAAGGGACAAGCAACAGCUGAGCUCAUUCCCUUUCUAUCAGUUUGCAACAUCUGCCCCAGCCCUUACUGACAGUAGAGAAAAAUAAGGACUUUCCAAACACGCCUUUAGGCCACCAAACUUCACUGAGUUACUGGUCCAUUCCAGAAACCAGAUGUUUUACCUGGUCCCUGCACUGGCCAACAGCUUUGGAGUAUGGGUGCUGUCUCCUGGGAAAGACUGUGGGCUCCUUGAGGGCCCUGCCUUUUUGUUCUGUGUAGCCCCGGCACAUAGUAGAGCACGACACACAACUCAACACAGGCCAGAAGCCAGUUUCAGUUAUGCUUUUGUCCAUGUCAUGCAUGCCACUGGGAUGUCUGCAGAAGGAAGCAGUGAAGAAGCAGUCGUGAGAGGCGAUUCUUUCCAUGCGUUUUCUCCAGAAACCCUUGUGAGAGAUGAUUCUGUUCAUGCGUUUUCUCCAGAAAUGAGGUUGCAUGAAGGUCAUCUGCCUCUGUCAGAGCCAACUUUACAAGUGUGCGCUGAGCCUGGGACUUCCCGUGUGAAGAUGCAAGGCUGGCAGAAACCCAGACAGGCUUACUAAACUGAAAUUCAACUUCGACUUACUGCUGAGAGCAAAGGGCCAUAAUGAAGGUGUCUUCGUCCAUUUCGUGUUGCUAUAAAGGAAUACCUGAGACUGGGUUACUUAUAAAGAAAAUAAAGUGUAUUUGGCUCAUGAUUCUGAUGGUUGGAAACUUCAUGAUUGGGCAUCUGUCUCUGGUGGGGGCCUGGGGCUGCUUCCACUCGUGGCAGAAGGUGAAGGAGAGCUGGCGUGUGCAGACAUCACAUCUCAAAAGAGGAGGCAAGAGAGAGAUGGGGGAGGUGUCAGGCUCUUUUCAACAACUAGUUUUCUUGGGAACUGACAGAACAAGAACUCACUCACCCCACUGAGAAAAGGCAUUAAUCUAUUCAUGAGGGAUCCACCCUCAUGACCCAAACACCUCCCAUUAGGCCCCACCUCCAACAUUGGGGAUCAAAUUUCAACAUGAGGUUUGAAGGGGAUAAAUAUCCAAACUAUAGCAGAAUCUGAGCAACGAUUAGCAAGUGUCAUUAACAUGAAUACACAAAACCCACAGGUCUGGGGCUCCCACCAACUGGGUAAGGCCUCAGAUGCCUACAAAAUCCCUUUGAGUAUUUCCUGAGGUCCCAGAGUGGGGAAGGGGUUAUCCUACACAUACCCCCAAACAAGUUCAUGCUAGCUGGACAGCACCACAUCCUUGUGGCUGCCUGCGCAGGGCUGGGUCUAGUUUUCAUGGGUAGUCAAACUGUUGUCUAGGACAGGGUGCUAUAGUUCAGUGUUCUCCAGGAUGAAGCCUCAGGAUGUCAAAGUAGCCUCUCUUCCCA
RNAcentral lists this long non-coding RNA (1705 nucleotides) under Callithrix jacchus (white-tufted-ear marmoset). RNAcentral describes it as "lncRNA (ENSCJAG00000063543.2)". The record is from RNAcentral. Lineage: Eukaryota; Metazoa; Chordata; Mammalia; Primates; Cebidae.